Molecule: non-coding RNA, 375 nt
Organism: Pantherophis guttatus
Lineage: Eukaryota; Metazoa; Chordata; Lepidosauria; Squamata; Colubridae
Source: the annotation of a RefSeq genome assembly
AUGAAGCUGGAGCCUCUGGAGCAAGCGAUGUGCAGGAGCGAGGAUUUGGACAGAGUGUUGGUGUUGGGUGCAAUGUCUAAAUUCACGUUGACUCAAGAACCUUAUAUUUCUGCAUCUCCUGGAGAAGCAGCCAAACUCUCCUGCAAUAUUAGCAGCGGGAAAUACUUUGGAACCUUCUCAUGGUACCAGCAACAGGGAGGAGAAAGGCCCAGAUUUCUACUGAAUUAUAAUACAACCUCCAGAGAGACAAAAUUUGACCCUGAAGCUUCUGGUCAUUUCUCUGCUUCUACAAACACCUAUAAGAAAACUGCUUUCUUAAUCAUCAACAAUGUGCAGGGAAAGGAUGAAGGGAACUAUUACUGUUAUGUUGGGUAA